GAUGAACGCUAGCGGCAUGCUUUACACAUGCAAGUCGAACGGUAACAGGCCGCAAGGUGCUGACGAGUGGCGAACGGGUGAGUAAUAUAUCGGAACGUGCCUUAGAGUGGGGGAUAACUAGUCGAAAGAUUAGCUAAUACCGCAUACGAUCUACGGAUGAAAGUGGGGGAUCGCAAGACCUCAUGCUCUUAGAGCGGCCG
RNAcentral lists this ribosomal RNA (200 nucleotides) under uncultured bacterium. Its description in RNAcentral is "partial 16S ribosomal RNA". It matches the Rfam family "Bacterial small subunit ribosomal RNA", at positions 28 to 232 of the family's 1533-position model. The record is from RNAcentral.